Molecule: ribosomal RNA, 252 nt
Filed under: uncultured bacterium
Lineage: Bacteria
Description: partial 16S ribosomal RNA
Rfam family: Bacterial small subunit ribosomal RNA
Source: RNAcentral
UACGGGGGGGCAAGCGUUGUUCGGAAUUACUGGGCGUAAAGGGCUUGUAGGUGGCCAACUAAGUCAGACGUGAAAUCCCUCGGCUUAACCGGGGAACUGCGUCUGAUACUGGAUGGCUUGAGUUUGGGAGAGGGAUGCGGAAUUCCAGGUGUAGCGGUGAAAUGCGUAGAUAUCGAGAGGAACACCUGCGGCGAAGGCGGGUUGCUGGGCCGACACUGACGCUGAUGCGCGAAAGCCAGGGGAGCGAACGGG